GAAGGGAGCUUGCUCCCGGAUGUUAGCGGCGGACGGGUGAGUAACACGUGGGUAACCUGCCUGUAAGACUGGGAUAACUCCGGGAAACCGGAGCUAAUACCGGAUAGUUCCUUGAACCGCAUGGUUCAAGGAUGAAAGACGGUUUCGGCUGUCACUUACAGAUGGACCCGCGGCGCAUUAGCUAGUUGGUGGGGUAAUGGCUCACCAAGGCGACGAUGCGUAGCCGACCUGAGAGGGUGAUCGGCCACACUGGGACUGAGACACGGCCCAGACUCCUACGGGAGGCAGCAGUAGGGAAUCUUCCGCAAUGGACGAAAGUCUGACGGAGCAACGCCGCGUGAGUGAUGAAGGUUUUCGGAUCGUAAAGCUCUGUUGUUAGGGAAGAACAAGUGCGAGAGUAACUGCUCGCACCUUGACGGUACCUAACCAGAAAGCCACGGCUAACUACGUGCCAGCAGCCGCGGUAAUACGUAGGUGGCAAGCGUUGUCCGGAAUUAUUGGGCGUAAAGGGCUCGCAGGCGGUUUCUUAAGUCUGAUGUGAAAGCCCCCGGCUCAACCGGGGAGGGUCAUUGGAAACUGGGAAACUUGAGUGCAGAAGAGGAGAGUGGAAUUCCACGUGUAGCGGUGAAAUGCGUAGAGAUGUGGAGGAACACCAGUGGCGAAGGCGACUCUCUGGUCUGUAACUGACGCUGAGGAGCGAAAGCGUGGGGAGCGAACAGGAUUAGAUACCCUGGUAGUCCACGCCGUAAACGAUGAGUGCUAAGUGUUAGGGGGUUUCCGCCCCUUAGUGCUGCAGCUAACGCAUUAAGCACUCCGCCUGGGGAGUAC
This 828-nucleotide ribosomal RNA is filed under the name Bacillus sp. CUA-752. RNAcentral's name for it is "bacterial SSU rRNA". It matches the Rfam family "Bacterial small subunit ribosomal RNA", at positions 71 to 883 of the family's 1533-position model. Lineage: Bacteria; Bacillati; Bacillota; Bacilli; Caryophanales; Bacillaceae. The record is from RNAcentral.